GGGUGAUGGCGUGCCUUUUGUAGAAUGAACCGGCGAGUUACGAUUUGAUGCAAGGUUAAGCAGUAAAUGUGGAGCCGUAGCGAAAGCGAGUCUGAAUAGGGCGUUUAGUAUUUGGUCGUAGACCCGAAACCAGGUGAUCUACCCUUGGUCAGGUUGAAGUUCAGGUAACACUGAAUGGAGGACCGAACCGACUUACGUUGAAAAGUGAGCGGAUGAACUGAGGGUAGCGGAGAAAUUCCAAUCGAACCUGGAGAUAGCUGGUUCUCUCCGAAAUAGCUUUAGGGCUAGCCUCAAGUGAUGAUUAUUGGAGGUAGAGCACUGUUUGGACGAGGGGCCCCUCUCGGGUUACCGAAUUCAGACAAACUCCGAAUGCCAAUUAAUUUAACUUGGGAGUCAGAACAUGGGUGAUAAGGUCCGUGUUCGAAAGGGAAACAGCCCAGACCACCAGCUAAGGUCCCAAAAUAUAUGUUAAGUGGAAAAGGAUGUGGCGUUGCCCAGACAACUAGGAUGUUGGCUUAGAAGCAGCCAUCAUUUAAAGAGUGCGUAAUAGCUCACUAGUCGAGUGACACUGCGCCGAAAAUGUACCGGGGCUAAACAUAUUACCGAAGCUGUGGAUUGUCCUUUGGACAAUGGUAGGAGAGCGUUCUAAGGGCGUUGAAGCAUGAUCGUAAGGACAUGUGGAGCGCUUAGAAGUGAGAAUGCCGGUGUGAGUAGCGAAAGACGGGUGAGAAUCCCGUCCACCGAUUGACUAAGGUUUCCAGAGGAAGGCUCGUCCGCUCUGGGUUAGUCGGGUCCUAAGCUGAGGCCGACAGGCGUAGGCGAUGGAUAACAGGUUGAUAUUCCUGUACCACCUAUAAUCGUUUUAAUCGAUGGGGGGACGCAGUAGGAUAGGCGAAGCGUGCGAUUGGAUUGCACGUCUAAGCAGUAAGGCUGAGUAUUAGGCAAAUCCGGUACUCAUUAAGGCUGAGCUGUGAUGGGGAGAAGACAUUGUGUCUUCGAGUCGUUGAUUUCACACUGCCGAGAAAAGCCUCUAGAUAGAAAAUAGGUGCCCGUACCGCAAACCGACACAGGUAGUCAAGAUGAGAAUUCUAAGGUGAGCGAGCGAACUCUCGUUAAGGAACUCGGCAAAAUGACCCCGUAACUUCGGGAGAAGGGGUGCUCUUUAGGGUUAACGCCAAGAAGUGCCGCAGUGAAUAGGCCCAAGCGACUGUUUAUCAAAAACACAGG
Molecule: ribosomal RNA, 1227 nt
Filed under: Alsobacter ponti
Lineage: Bacteria; Pseudomonadati; Pseudomonadota; Alphaproteobacteria; Hyphomicrobiales; Alsobacteraceae
Description: partial 23S ribosomal RNA
Rfam family: Bacterial large subunit ribosomal RNA
Source: RNAcentral